GAUGAACGCUGGCGGCGUGCCUAAUACAUGCAAGUCGAGCGAACGGACGAGAAGCUUGCUCCUCUGACGUUAGCGGCGGACGGGUGAGUAACACGUGGAUAACCUACCUAUAAGACUGGGAUAACUUCGGGAAACCGUAGCUAAUACCGGAUAAUAUUUUGAACCGCAUGGUUCAAUAGUGAAAGACGGUCUUGCUGUCACUUAUAGAUGGAUCCGCGCUGCAUUAGCUAGUUGGUAAGGUAACGGCUUACCAAGGCAACGAUGCAUAGCCGACCUGAGAGGGUGAUCGGCCACACUGGAACUGAGACACGGUCCAGACUCCUACGGGAGGCAGCAGUAGGGAAUCUUCCGCAAUGGGCGAAAGCCUGACGGAGCAACGCCGCGUGAGUGAUGAAGGUCUUCGGAUCGUAAAACUCUGUUAUUAGGGAAGAACAUAUGUGUAAGUAACUGUGCACGUCUUGACGGUGCCUAAUCAGAAAGCCACGGCUAACUACGUG
Molecule: ribosomal RNA, 497 nt
Filed under: uncultured bacterium
Lineage: Bacteria
Description: partial 16S ribosomal RNA
Rfam family: Bacterial small subunit ribosomal RNA
Source: RNAcentral